RNAcentral lists this ribosomal RNA (388 nucleotides) under Salmonella enterica subsp. enterica serovar Infantis. RNAcentral's name for it is "bacterial SSU rRNA". It matches the Rfam family "Bacterial small subunit ribosomal RNA", at positions 1128 to 1515 of the family's 1533-position model. Lineage: Bacteria; Pseudomonadati; Pseudomonadota; Gammaproteobacteria; Enterobacterales; Enterobacteriaceae. The record is from RNAcentral. RNAcentral also lists the same sequence under 12 other names.
CGGCCGGGAACUCAAAGGAGACUGCCAGUGAUAAACUGGAGGAAGGUGGGGAUGACGUCAAGUCAUCAUGGCCCUUACGACCAGGGCUACACACGUGCUACAAUGGCGCAUACAAAGAGAAGCGACCUCGCGAGAGCAAGCGGACCUCAUAAAGUGCGUCGUAGUCCGGAUUGGAGUCUGCAACUCGACUCCAUGAAGUCGGAAUCGCUAGUAAUCGUGGAUCAGAAUGCCACGGUGAAUACGUUCCCGGGCCUUGUACACACCGCCCGUCACACCAUGGGAGUGGGUUGCAAAAGAAGUAGGUAGCUUAACCUUCGGGAGGGCGCUUACCACUUUGUGAUUCAUGACUGGGGUGAAGUCGUAACAAGGUAACCGUAGGGGAACCUGC